GGGUAUUGUUUAAGGCCCAAUUUUAGCCACGGUCCUUAAGCUCAUAAUCUCAGAGUUAAAAAAAAAAACAAGAAUCCGCUGAUAUCGUCCUCUGAUCAGUUGGUUGCAUAGCUCGUUGUGUGUAAGAAGAGAUGAAUCUGAAUAUGAAUUCAGUAGAAUCACUGGUGGCUCAAAUCCAAGGGCUAUCGAGCAAUGCAUCAGACGUAACUCAGCUUCACAACUUCCUCAAACAAUCGGAAGAGCUUCUCCAUUCCGACUUCGGUCGCCUGCUCUCUUCGCUCGCUGAACUUGACCCGAACACUCAUUCCCUCGGCUUCCUCUAUAUCCUGUAAACUUCCCUUUUUCUCGCCUGCUCUCUUCGCUCGGUGAACUUGACCCCAAUGUUCACUCCCUCGGCUUCCUCUAUAUCCUGUAAACUUCCCUUUUUCCUCCUUAUCUGUUAGGAGUACUAUGUGUUUGUUCCCAAAUUUUAGGGUUUAUGAGGCUUCCCUUAUUAAUUUUGGAUUUGAGGCAGACUUGAUUAAUGAGUUGAUUACGUAAUCUAUAUUAUCACAGAAUUCAACCAUCUGUGGAAUAAAGCGCAGUGUGUGUUUCACAGCAAUAUUGCAG
This 609-nucleotide long non-coding RNA is filed under the name Nicotiana benthamiana. RNAcentral describes it as "long non-coding RNA (NBEN_LNC018660)". Lineage: Eukaryota; Viridiplantae; Streptophyta; Magnoliopsida; Solanales; Solanaceae. The record is from RNAcentral.